Molecule: ribosomal RNA, 1357 nt
Filed under: uncultured bacterium
Lineage: Bacteria
Description: partial 16S ribosomal RNA
Rfam family: Bacterial small subunit ribosomal RNA
Source: RNAcentral
GAUGAACGCUGGCGGCGUGCCUAAUACAUGCAAGUCGAGCGAACAGACGAGGAGCUUGCUCCUCUGACGUUAGCGGCGGACGGGUGAGUAACACGUGGAUAACCUACCUAUAAGACUGGGAUAACUUCGGGAAACCGGAGCUAAUACCGGAUAAUAUAUUGAACCGCAUGGUUCAAUAGUGAAAGACGGUUUUGCUGUCACUUAUAGAUGGAUCCGCGCCGCAUUAGCUAGUUGGUAAGGUAACGGCUUACCAAGGCGACGAUGCGUAGCCGACCUGAGAGGGUGAUCGGCCACACUGGAACUGAGACACGGCCCAGACUCCUACGGGAGGCAGCAGUGGGGAAUAUUGCACAAUGGGCGCAAGCCUGAUGCAGCGACGCCGCGUGGGGGAUGAAGGCCUUCGGGUUGUAAACUCCUUUCGCUAGGGAAGAAGCCACUUGUGGUGACGGUACCUGGAUAAGAAGCACCGGCUAACUACGUGCCAGCAGCCGCGGUAAUACGUACGGUGCGAGCGUUGUCCGGAAUUACUGUGCGUAAAGAGCUCGUANGUGGAUUGUCGCGUCGUCUGUGAAAUUCCGGGGCUUAACUUCGGGCGUGCACGCGAUACGGGCAUAACUAGAGUGCUGUAGGGGAGACUGGAUUCCCUGUGUAGCGGUGAAAUGCGCAGAUAUCAGGAGGACCACCGAUGUCGANGGCAGGUCUCUGGGCAGUUACUGACGCUGAGGAGCGAAAGCAUGGGUAGCGAACACGAUUAGAUACCUGGGUAGUCCAUGCCGUAAACGGUGGGCGCUAGGUGUGGCGGUUUUAUUUACGAUUCCCGUGCCGUAGCUAACGCAUUAAGCGCUCCGCCUGGGGAGUACGGCCGCAAGGCUAAAACUCAAAGGAAUUGACGGGGGCCCGCACAAGCGGCGGAGCAUGUGGAUUAAUUCGAUGCAACGCGAAGAACCUUACCUGGGCUUGACAUACACCGGAUCGCUGCAGAGAUGUAGUUUCCCUUGUGGCUGGUGUACAGGUGGUGCAUGGUUGUCGUCAGCUCGUGUCGUGAGAUGUUGGGUUAAGUCCCGCAACGAGCGCAACCCUUGUCUUGUGUUGCCAGCACGUUAUGGUGGGGACUCGCGAGAGACUGCCGGGGUUAACUCGGAGGAAGGUGGGGAUGACGUCAAAUCAUCAUGCCCCUUAUGUCCAGGGCUUCACACAUGCUACAAUGGUCGGUACAGUGGGUUGCGAUGCCGUGAGGUGGAGCUAAUCCCUUAAAGCCGGUCUCAGUUCGGAUUGGAGUCUGCAACUCGACUCCAUGAAGUCGGAGUCGCUAGUAAUCGCAGAUCAGCAAUGCUGCGGUGAAUACGUUCCCGGGCCU